RNAcentral lists this non-coding RNA (112 nucleotides) under chicken gut metagenome. Its description in RNAcentral is "FMN riboswitch (RFN element)". It matches the Rfam family "FMN riboswitch aptamer (RFN element)". From Rfam's summary of the family: The RFN element is a highly conserved domain that is found frequently in the 5'-untranslated regions of prokaryotic mRNAs that encode for flavin mononucleotide (FMN) biosynthesis and transport proteins. The record is from RNAcentral.
AGUCUUCAGGGCAGGGUGAAAUUCCCGAUUGGCGGUAAAGUCCGCGAGCAAUUUUUUGCAGGAUUUGGUGAAAUUCCAAAACCAACAGUUAUAGUCUGGAUAGAAGAAGAUA